RNAcentral lists this ribosomal RNA (729 nucleotides) under Geotrichum reessii. Its description in RNAcentral is "SSU rRNA". It matches the Rfam family "Eukaryotic small subunit ribosomal RNA", at positions 827 to 1579 of the family's 1831-position model. Lineage: Eukaryota; Fungi; Ascomycota; Dipodascomycetes; Dipodascales; Dipodascaceae. The record is from RNAcentral.
CGUGUGGGGUGCUGUAGCAUUGCAUAUGGACCGACGUAAUGAUUAAUAGGGACGGUCGGGGGCAUCAGUAUUCAGUUGUCAGAGGUGAAAUUCUUGGAUUUACUGAAGACUAACUACUGCGAAAGCAUUUGCCAAGGACGUUUUCAUUAAUCAAGAACGAAAGUUAGGGGAUCGAAGACGAUCAGAUACCGUCGUAGUCUUAACCGUAAACUAUGCCGACUAGGGAUCGGAGGGCGUUACAAUAACCUUUCCGGCACCUUACGAGAAAUCAAAGUUUUUGGGUUCUGGGGGGAGUAUGGUUGCAAGGCUGAAACUUAAAGGAAUUGACGGAAGGGCACCACCAGGAGUGGAGCCUGCGGCUUAAUUUGACUCAACACGGGGAAACUCACCAGGUCCAGACACAAUAAGGAUUGACAGAUUGAGAGCUCUUUCAUGAUUUUGUGGGUGGUGGUGCAUGGCCGUUCUUAGUUGGUGGAGUGAUUUGUCUGCUUAAUUGCGAUAACGAACGAGACCUUAACCUGCUAAAUAGCUGUAACAAUAGAUUAUUGUUUUGACAGCUUCUUAGAGGGACUAUCGAUUUUCAAGUCGAAGGAAGUUUGAGGCAAUAACAGGUCUGUGAUGCCCUUAGACGUUCUGGGCCGCACGCGCGCUACACUGACGGAGCCAGCGAGUCUAACCUGUGCCGAGAGGUAUGGGUAAUCUUGUGAAACUCCGUCGUGCUGGGGAAGG